Long non-coding RNA from Alosa sapidissima (American shad), 216 nucleotides. RefSeq lists it as uncharacterized. The transcript is spliced from 2 exons. Lineage: Eukaryota; Metazoa; Chordata; Actinopteri; Clupeiformes; Clupeidae. The record is from RefSeq and is a predicted model, not a curated record.
AUAUUGUAAAUAUUGAAAAUAUUGUAAACAAUGUAGCCUAAUUGGCUAGCUCAUCACAGUCAAGGGGGUAAGCGAACAUUCGGAAACCGUCACUUUAACAGCGAGUAACUUUACAUCUGAAGCGUUGUAAACCUUUAAAGGGACACCAGGCAACGUAAUUGUGUUAAUUAUGUGCUAAGUUUGCUUUGGGAACAAAUAUAAUUGAGUAAAAAUGAA